This 274-nucleotide ribosomal RNA is filed under the name uncultured bacterium. RNAcentral's name for it is "partial 16S ribosomal RNA". It matches the Rfam family "Bacterial small subunit ribosomal RNA", at positions 523 to 796 of the family's 1533-position model. The record is from RNAcentral.
AGACGGAGGGUGCAAGCGUUGUCCGGAAUCACUGGGCGUAAAGAGCACGUAGGCGGCCGUUUAAGUCAUUUGUGAAAGCCCGGGGCUCAACCCCGGAACUGCAAGCGAAACUGGAUGGCUAGAGCACGGUUGAGGCGAGUGGAAUUCCCGGUGUAGCGGUGGAAUGCGUAGAUAUCGGGAAGAACACCAGUGGCGAAGGCGACUCGCUGGGCCGAUGCUGACGCUGAGGCGCGAAAGCGUGGGGAGCAAACAGGAUUAGAUACCCCAGUAGUCC